This 244-nucleotide ribosomal RNA is filed under the name uncultured Fibrella sp. RNAcentral's name for it is "partial 16S ribosomal RNA". It matches the Rfam family "Bacterial small subunit ribosomal RNA", at positions 438 to 680 of the family's 1533-position model. Lineage: Bacteria; Pseudomonadati; Bacteroidota; Cytophagia; Cytophagales; Spirosomataceae. The record is from RNAcentral.
AUCUGGGAAGAAGAGCAUGCUUGCGAGCGUGUGUGACGGUACCAGAGGAAUCAGCACCGGCUAACUCCGUGCCAGCAGCCGCGGUAAUACGGAGGGUGCAAGCGUUGUCCGGAUUUAUUGGGUUUAAAGGGUGCGUAGGUGGCCUGAUAAGUCAGCUUUGAAAGUGGCUUGCUUAACAAGACAGGGUGGGUUGAUACUGUCAGGCUUGAAUGAUGGUGAGGUUACUGGAACGGGUCGUGUAGCG